AGUGAACGCUGGCGGUAGGCCUAACACAUGCAAGUCGAACGGCAGCACAGUAAGAGCUUGCUCUUACGGGUGGCGAGUGGCGGACGGGUGAGGAAUACAUCGGAAUCUACUUUUUCGUGGGGGAUAACGUAGGGAAACUUACGCUAAUACCGCAUACGACCUACGGGUGAAAGCAGGGGAUCUUCGGACCUUGCGCGAUUGAAUGAGCCGAUGUCGGAUUAGCUAGUUGGCGGGGUAAAGGCCCACCAAGGCGACGAUCCGUAGCUGGUCUGAGAGGAUGAUCAGCCACACUGGAACUGAGACACGGUCCAGACUCCUACGGGAGGCAGCAGUGGGGAAUAUUGGAAAAUGGGCGCAAGCCUGAUCCAGCCAUACCGCGUGGGUGAAGAAGGCCUUCGGGUUGUAAAGCCCUUUUGUUGGGAAAGAAAAGCAGCAGGUUAAUACCCCGCUGUUCUGACGGGACCCAAAGAAUAAGCACCGGCUAACUUCGU
This 491-nucleotide ribosomal RNA is filed under the name uncultured bacterium. RNAcentral describes it as "partial 16S ribosomal RNA". It matches the Rfam family "Bacterial small subunit ribosomal RNA", at positions 29 to 506 of the family's 1533-position model. The record is from RNAcentral.